CAGCCGCCACGGGAAUACGGAGGGGGCUAGCGUUGUUCGGAAUUACUGGGCGUAAAGCGCACGUAGGCGGCUUUGUAAGUUAGAGGUGAAAGCCCGGGGCUCAACCCCGGAAUUGCCUUUAAGACUGCAGAGCUAGCAGGUGAGAGAGGUGAGUGGAAUUCCGAGUGUAGAGGUGAAAUUCGUAGAUAUUCGGAAGAACACCAGUGGCGAAGGCGGCUCACUGGCUCAUACUGGACGCUGAGGUGCGAAAGCGUGGGGAGCGAACAGGAUUAGAUACCCCCGUAGUCCCUGUCUCUUAUAC
RNAcentral lists this ribosomal RNA (301 nucleotides) under uncultured bacterium. Its description in RNAcentral is "partial 16S ribosomal RNA". It matches the Rfam family "Bacterial small subunit ribosomal RNA", at positions 509 to 807 of the family's 1533-position model. The record is from RNAcentral.